This is a long non-coding RNA of Salvelinus fontinalis (brook trout), 212 nucleotides long. RefSeq lists it as uncharacterized. NCBI's taxonomy places the organism in Eukaryota, Metazoa, Chordata, Actinopteri, Salmoniformes, Salmonidae. The record is from RefSeq and is a predicted model, not a curated record. The transcript is spliced from 3 exons.
GGUCAGUCUCAUUAACACUAUGGCAGUAUUACAUAAAGGUUAGUCUCAUACAGACAGUAUUACAUAAAGGUCAGUCUCAUUAACACUAUGGCAGUAUUACAUAAAGGUUAGUCUCAUUAACACUAUGGCAGUAUUACAUAAAGGUCAGUCUCAUACAGACAGUAUUACAUAAAGGUCAGUCUCAUACAGACAGUAUUACAUAAAGGUCAGUC